GAUUAAGUUAUUAAGGGCGCACGGUGGAUGCCUUGGCACUAGAAGCCGAUGAAGGACGUUACUAACGACGAUAUGCUUUGGGGAGCUGUAAGUAAGCUUUGAUCCAGAGAUUUCCGAAUGGGGAAACCCAGCAUGAGUUAUGUCAUGUUAUCGAUAUGUGAAUACAUAGCAUAUCAGAAGGCACACCCGGAGAACUGAAACAUCUUAGUACCCGGAGGAAGAGAAAGAAAAUUCGAUUCCCUUAGUAGCGGCGAGCGAAACGGGAAGAGCCCAAACCAACAAGCUUGCUUGUUGGGGUUGUAGGACACUCUAUACGGAGUUACA
This 324-nucleotide ribosomal RNA is filed under the name Staphylococcus aureus. RNAcentral describes it as "partial 23S ribosomal RNA". It matches the Rfam family "Bacterial large subunit ribosomal RNA", at positions 1 to 324 of the family's 2925-position model. Lineage: Bacteria; Bacillati; Bacillota; Bacilli; Caryophanales; Staphylococcaceae. The record is from RNAcentral.